Molecule: RNA transcript, 1494 nt
Organism: Trachymyrmex septentrionalis
Lineage: Eukaryota; Metazoa; Arthropoda; Insecta; Hymenoptera; Formicidae
Exons: 7
Source: RefSeq, a predicted model, not a curated record
CUAUAAUUUUGACGUAAUUUUUAAAUUUAAAACCUUUUCGGCACAAAUUUUCAAAAUUGUGAAAUAUGUAUUUAUUCAGUAAAAUUCACGAUUAUGUGUACUUGCUCUCCAAAUAAUAAUAAUAAUAAUAAUAAUAGAGAAGAAUAUUAUACUGCACUUUCCGAGUUUGAGACUCCAGAAGAUCGAUAUACGUCGACACAGUAUGAAGAAGAGUUUAUCCCAGCAUAUUACUCAACUCCAAUCUCGCCUCAAAUCCCGGCUCCAAUCUCGACUCCAAGAAGAAUACAAAGUUAUCAACGUAUGCCUCGAACUCGUGUAAGAGGUGUCUCACGUAGAGAUCUCACAAGUGGAGUAGCUAUUGUACCACGACGAAUUGAUUUUGAUGCAUCAGAUGUCGAAGAAAUUAAAAAUGAAGAAAUAGUGAGAGAAAGAUUACAACAAUUACAAAGUCCGGCACGUCUGCCUCUCACUUCCGAAACUGGUGCUCCUGGAACGUAUAGAUUGAGACGCACAAGGGCGACACAAUAUCCAUUACAGAGAAGGCAAUAUGUGCCUAGAAUGGUUCAGAUUACACCUUGCGGGAAAUGUCUGAGAAUAUAAAAACGUAUCGAAGUAACCAUGAAAAGCAACCAACCAAUUUACACAACACAGAUCCCGGAACACCGAAGAUAUCGUAGAAGUACUGGGCAAACACUCCGGCUGACUGUUUCUCAAUCAGAGUCGGGUACACGGAAGGCACACGGUUAUAGCAGCACUCGGUGGACGCCUGUUUUCACGGUCAUUCCAUUUCCAAAGAUGCCUGACCAAUUCUUGGAAGAACGCGUUGUCUCGGUAUUUCGCGCGGAAUCGCCUUUGAGCAUCGUUGGCUGAUAUCGCACGGAGAACGGGCGACGAGACGACGGCGCGUGCACGGAUGAAACGGGCACGCGAAGACGCGGAGGACGCGAGUGGUGGCGAAUUUACGUAAUGAAGCGAUCGCCCGGGUGGUCCCGAGCGUGAGACGCGCGUACGCACGUUCCUUCGUCGUUCCCGAUGCGAGACGCUUGCCAAGAUGGAGAGAACAAAGAGAGACGGGAGAGUAAGAAUCUCUCUUUUUCUCCUCGAGAACGACUUGUAGCUCCGGCGUCGUUCAGCACUCGAAUUAACGGCACCGGAAAUACGAUGCAACGUGCACGCGCUCGGACGCAUUAUGCGCGUGGAAGAGAAACGCGAACACGUUUACCACCCACAAUUAUUUGCCAAAACAUGCCUCUCCUGUGAUUUCCACGCACCGAGGGACCAUCGGGAUCCCGAGACGCCACACGUCAGAAUAUUUGAGAUGGGUUCGCCCCGAGCGCUAAGGAAACCAAUCGCUAAUCUUUCAGAGAAACGUCGUCGAAGUUUACGUUCGCGCAAUCAUCAAAAGAUUAUCCCCUCCCUUCUGGCAAAAUAUAGAUUUCUUGUUAAACUUGCAGAAAAAAUUUUUGACUUUUUAAUUAUAUUCACCUCGUUAAA